This 251-nucleotide ribosomal RNA is filed under the name uncultured prokaryote. Its description in RNAcentral is "partial 16S rRNA". It matches the Rfam family "Bacterial small subunit ribosomal RNA", at positions 525 to 775 of the family's 1533-position model. The record is from RNAcentral.
ACGGAGGGUGCAAGCGUUGUUCGGAAUCACUGGGCGUAAAGGGCGCGUAGGCGGUUAUGCAAGUCAGAUGUGAAAUACUUCAGCUUAACUGAAGAACUGCAUUUGAUACUGCAAGACUAGAGUACAGGAGAGGGAAAUGGAAUUCCCGGUGUAGAGGUGAAAUGCGUGGAGAUCGGGAGGAAGAGCAGUGGCGAAGGCGAUUUCCGGGCCGAAAACUGCCGCUGAGGCGUGGAAGCGUGGGGAGCAAACAG